AGAUUGAACGCUGGCGGCAUGCCUAACACAUGCAAGUCGAACGGGAGUAGCAAUACUCUAGUGGCGGACGGGUGAGGAAUACGUAGGAAUUUGCCCUUAAGUGGGGGAUAACCCGGGGAAACCCGGAUUAAUACCGCAUGACCUCGAAAGAGCAAAGUGGGGGAUCGCAAGACCUCACGCUUUUGGAGAAGCCUACGUCGGAUUAGCUAGUUGGUGAGGUAAUGGCUCACCAAGGCGACGAUCCGUAACUGGUCUGAGAGGAU
RNAcentral lists this ribosomal RNA (263 nucleotides) under uncultured soil bacterium. Its description in RNAcentral is "partial 16S ribosomal RNA". It matches the Rfam family "Bacterial small subunit ribosomal RNA", at positions 26 to 301 of the family's 1533-position model. The record is from RNAcentral.